RNAcentral lists this ribosomal RNA (515 nucleotides) under uncultured delta proteobacterium. RNAcentral describes it as "bacterial SSU rRNA". It matches the Rfam family "Bacterial small subunit ribosomal RNA", at positions 888 to 1403 of the family's 1533-position model. The record is from RNAcentral. Lineage: Bacteria; Deltaproteobacteria.
GCAAGGGCUAAACUCAAAGGAAUUGACGGGGCCGCACAAGCGGUGGAGCAUGUGGUUCAAUUCGAUGCAACGCGAAAAACCUUACCUGGGUUUGACAUCCUUUGACAGUCCCUGAAAGGGGCUCUUCCCGAUUUAUCGGGACAAAGUGACAGGUGCUGCAUGGCUGUCGUCAGCUCGUGUCGUGAGAUGUUGGGUUAAGUCCCGCAACGAGCGCAACCCUUGUCUUUAGUUGCCAAUAUUAAGUUAGGCACUCUAAUGAUACUGCCCCGGUUAACGGGGAGGAAGGUGGGGAUGACGUCAAGUCCAUAUGGUCCUUACAUCCAGGGCGAGAAACGUGCUACAAUGGUUGGUACAAAGGGGAGCAAAAUCGCAAGAUUGAGCAAAUCCUCAAAACCAAUCUCAGUUCGGAUUGGAGUCUGCAACCCGACUCCAUGAAGUUGGAAUCGCUAGUAAUCGCGGAUCAGCAUGCCGCGGUGAAUACGUAUCCGGGUCUUGUACACACCGCCCGUCAAGUC